UUGUCUUUCCCUCCCUUCGGGGUGGGAUUACAAAAGAUAACAGAUCUUUCAUGAUCAUGUGAUGGGUGGUGCAUGGCCGUUCUUAGUUCGUGGAGUGAUCUGUCUGCUUAAUUGCGUUUCAAAUUUUAUAUUUGUUAACAUGCGAGUCUUCAAUGACGGCCACUCCACCUUAUAGACAUUAUAUGAUAUGCACAUUUGUGUAUUUGAUUAUAACUUGUCUGGAGUCUGGCUCGAUUUUUUUGACUCAAUUGAACGCAACGGACGUGAUUGCAAGUCCUUGUUGAACAAAUUAUAUAUAUACUACUUCAUCAUUAGUAUAUAUAGUUCGCUUCUCAUGUCGUAGCAGUCAAACGGGCGGGCGUCUUAAUUGGCGCGGUCACGAGGCUUAAUAUGCUGCGGCUGGGAAAACUUGGGCGACCGCUGUAAUACUUCUCUCUUAAACCAGAGGAAGAUUGCGGCAAUAACAGGUCUGUGAUGCCCUCAGAUGUCCCGGGCCGCACACGUGCUACAUUGAUUAGCGCAGUGCGCAUACUUACAUAUAGAUCAUUGAUUGGUUAUUUAUAACCGUCAAUAUCGCCUUGUCUGAAAGGACUAGGUAAUCUAUUGUAAGUGCUGGUUCCUCCUCCCGUUGAGCAUUUUAAUAAUGGUCUCUCUACAUCCCUAGCACAUGAUGUCUAG
Molecule: ribosomal RNA, 678 nt
Filed under: Globigerinella siphonifera
Lineage: Eukaryota; Foraminifera; Rotaliida; Globigerinidae
Description: SSU rRNA
Rfam family: Eukaryotic small subunit ribosomal RNA
Source: RNAcentral